AUUGAAGUUGUAUUCUAAUUAUAGGAAAAUGGUAAUCUCUUGCUCACAGAUAAAAGAGGGACGAAAGUUACCAAAGGGACAGUCAAACUCAUAAAUCUAAAACAAACUGACAACGCCAUGGCUAAAAAUGAAAAAGACAAACAAACAACAGCACACACGACACAACAUAGAAAACUAAAGAAUAAACAACACGAACCCCAC
RNAcentral lists this long non-coding RNA (201 nucleotides) under Mytilus galloprovincialis (Mediterranean mussel). The record is from RNAcentral. Lineage: Eukaryota; Metazoa; Mollusca; Bivalvia; Mytilida; Mytilidae.